Molecule: long non-coding RNA, 250 nt
Filed under: Ananas comosus (pineapple)
Lineage: Eukaryota; Viridiplantae; Streptophyta; Magnoliopsida; Poales; Bromeliaceae
Description: long non-coding RNA (ACOM_LNC042770)
Source: RNAcentral
GCGCUGACGGAUUUUAGGUUUGAUGCACGAAUUUUGAGAAAUUUGAAAAUACAUGUAUUAUAUGUAUUUGUUCGUGGUUUUGCAAUUCGGAGAGAGGACGGGUUUCGUCGCGAAUCUGCGACCGAAACAGGCAAAACAAAUUAUGGGUUUGCUGUCUCUGUCGUGCUGAUCGCACUGGUGCAAUACGUUCGCAAAUUUGACGGACGGAUUUGCUGAUAUUCCAUGUUGAUCGAGGAGGGGCUGUAAUUGG